Molecule: ribosomal RNA, 1188 nt
Filed under: Triticum aestivum (bread wheat)
Lineage: Eukaryota; Viridiplantae; Streptophyta; Magnoliopsida; Poales; Poaceae
Description: partial small subunit ribosomal RNA
Source: RNAcentral
AUGGCUCAAGCUUGCCUGCCACCUGGCUUUCGUUUCCAUCCAACUGAUGUUGAGCUUGUUUCUUACUACUUGAAAAGGAAGAUUAUGGGGAAGAAACUUUUUGUUGAAGCUAUUUCAGAGGUUGAGCUGUACAAAUUUGCUCCUUGGGACCUUCCUGAUAAAUCCUGUCUCCAGAGCAAAGAUCUUGAGUGGUUCUUCUUUUGUCCCCGUGACAAAAAAUAUCCUAAAGGGUCUAGGACGAACCGUGCCACACCAAAUGGUUAUUGGAAAACAAGUGGAAAAGACAGAACAAUUGAGCUGAACUCUCGCAUUGUUGGGUUGAAGAAAACAUUGAUUUUUCAUGAAGGCAAGGCACCCAAAGGCAAUAGGACUGACUGGGUGAUGUAUGAAUACAAAAUGGAAGAUGAAACUUUGGUGUCUGCUGGUUUCUCUAAGGAUGCUUAUGUACUCUGCAAGAUAUUUAAAAAGAGUGGGCUUGGCCCAAGGAUCGGCGAGCAAUAUGGGGCUCCUUUUGAUGAAAAUGAAUGGGAGAAUUUAGAUGUUGGAUCUUCUAUCUUCUCUUUUGCACCGUCGUCAGGUGUAGAGGAUCCACAGGUCAAUGACGCGCCUCCUGAAAUUGAUGGAAUAUUGUUGGACGAACUGGCAAAGUUUUUGGAUGAUUCUCCGAACGAUGAUGUAGUUUUGCCAGAGAAUUCUGGUCUCCCUCCAAUGUCUGAGCUUGAGGCUCAAGCUUUUGAGAUAAAUACUGCUGAGCUCUAUGACCAAUUGGCAGGACUUUCCCAGUCAGGAGAUAUGUCUACUGUAAAUUUCCCUGCUAGCAACGGGGAUGUUAUUGAAAACAAUUUGCAGCAAGCAAACUCUGGACUUGCUAUGGAUGAUGAUUAUAUAGGGCUGGAUGAUCUGCUUGCUCCUGGGGAAACCUUCUCCUAUGAUUUUUCUGGUGAAACCUUUUCCUAUGAUCUGCCUGGUGGAAGCUUCUCCUAUGAUUUGUCUGUGCCAAACAAUCAGUUUUUGCUGUACCCACUUGAUCAAUCAACUAGUGGCAGUCACUACGGUGUUGGUGCUACUCAAUCAACUUUCGAAGCAAGUGGAACUCUUCCACCAAUGCAACCAAUGCCAAGCACUUUUAAUGACAUGCCUUCUGUUUCCAAUUGCUUGAACCCAGCCAUGAAAGACCCAUUCUCUUAG